Molecule: unclassified non-coding RNA, 358 nt
Filed under: soil metagenome
Description: partial contains 5.8S ribosomal RNA, internal transcribed spacer 2, and large subunit ribosomal RNA
Rfam family: 5.8S ribosomal RNA (bases 1-120)
Source: RNAcentral
GAUGAAGAACGUAGCGAAAUGCGAUAAGUAAUGUGAAUUGCAGAAUUCAGUGAAUCAUCGAAUCUUUGAACGCACAUUGCGCACGUCAGUAUUCUGGCGGGCAUGCCUGUUCGAGCGUCAUUACGCCCCUCAAGUCCCCUGUGGACUUGGUGUUGGGGAUCGGCGAGGCUGGUUUUCCAGCACAGCCGUCCCUUAAAUUAAUUGGCGGUCUCGCCGUGGCCCUCCUCUGCGCAGUAGUAAAACACUCGCAACAGGAGCCCGGCGCGGUCCACUGCCGUAAAACCCCCCAACUUUUUAUAGUUGACCUCGAAUCAGGUAGGACUACCCGCUGAACUUAAGCAUAUCAAUAAGCGGAGGA